AUUGAACGCUGGCGGCAUGCCUUACACAUGCAAGUCGAACGGUAACGGGCCUUCGGGUGCCGACGAGUGGCGAACGGGUGAGUAAUGUAUCGGAACGUACCUUUCAGUGGGGGAUAACGUAGCGAAAGUUACGCUAAUACCGCAUAUUCUGUGAGCAGGAAAGCAGGGGAUCGCAAGACCUUGCGCUGAUUGAGCGGCCGAUAUCAGAUUAGCUAGUUGGUGAGGUAAAGGCUCACCAAGGCGACGAUCUGUAGCGGGUCUGAGAGGAUGAUCCGCCACACUGGAACUGAGACACGGUCCAGACUCCUACGGGAGGCAGCAGUGGGGGAAUUUUGGACAAUGGGGGCAACCCUGAUCCAGCCAUGCCGCGUGAGUGAAGAAGGCCUCGGUUGUAA
Molecule: ribosomal RNA, 395 nt
Filed under: uncultured bacterium
Lineage: Bacteria
Description: bacterial SSU rRNA
Rfam family: Bacterial small subunit ribosomal RNA
Source: RNAcentral